This 468-nucleotide ribosomal RNA is filed under the name uncultured bacterium. RNAcentral describes it as "partial 16S ribosomal RNA". It matches the Rfam family "Bacterial small subunit ribosomal RNA", at positions 28 to 507 of the family's 1533-position model. The record is from RNAcentral.
GACGAACGCUGGCGGCGUGCUUAACACAUGCAAGUCGAACGGAAAGGCCCUGCUUUUGUGGGGUGCUCGAGUGGCGAACGGGUGAGUAACACGUGAGUAACCUGCCCUUGACUUUGGGAUAACUUCAGGAAACUGGGGCUAAUACCGGAUAGGAGCUCCUGCUGCAUGGUGGGGGUUGGAAAGUUUCGGCGGUUGGGGAUGGACUUGCGGCUUAUCAGCUUGUUGGUGGGGUAGUGGCUUACCAAGGCUUUGACGGGUAGCCGGCCUGAGAGGGUGACCGGCCACAUUGGGACUGAGAUACGGCCCAGACUCCUACGGGAGGCAGCAGUGCGGAAUAUUGCACAAUGGGCGGAAGCCUGAUGCAGCAACGCCGCGUGCGGGAUGACGGCCUUCGGGUUGUAAACCGCUUUCGCCUGUGACGAAGCGUGAGUGACGGUAAUGGGUAAAGAAGCACCGGCUAACUACGUG